UUUGGGCAUACUUGGGCAAGAGUUUGGGCCGGUGCAGCUUGAGCUAGCUGCUCAAGCUCACCCUGGGCCACUUGGGCUUGGGCUGGUGCAUCUUGAACCAGCACAGCCUGGAUGGGCUAGGCCGGCUCGAUUAGGGUUUGCUCACUCUAGAUCUGUCUAGCCUGGGCUAACAUGGCCUGGGCUAGAGCGGCCUCAUAUUGCACUACCUGGGCUGGCUCAGCCCUAGCCUCCCUACUUGAGGCUCGCACAGGCCGUGCCUAUAUGGUGCCAACUAUGUUGGGCUCAGCACGUGAUGGUGUCAGGUUCCAUGCGUUGCUGACAUCAGCGGCGUCUGACAUUGAUGACAUUAGUAGUGUCACAGUUGACAUUGAUGACAUUGCAUUGGCAACUGCAAAAAGUUGCGGUGCCUUUACGGCCACGUGAUCCCCUCCGUUGAUCUCAAGAUCAAUGGUUGGAUCAAUUUGGCCGUUACACCCGUCGCCGUCUGAGGGUGGUGCCUCAGGCAUAGUAAUUGAGGUAAAGGUGCCAGCAUCUACUGACGCCUUUAUAGUCGGUUGAUCUUAACCAUUGAUCAUACGAUCAAUGGUUGGAUCAGAGGGGACAGCUUCACCCACCAUCGCCUCCUUCUCGAAGAUAGAGUAGAC
RNAcentral lists this long non-coding RNA (644 nucleotides) under Spirodela polyrhiza (greater duckweed). RNAcentral describes it as "long non-coding RNA (SPOL_LNC001748)". Lineage: Eukaryota; Viridiplantae; Streptophyta; Magnoliopsida; Alismatales; Araceae. The record is from RNAcentral.